CUUUUUAUCAGCCAUAGGUUAAUACAAGUGUUUAACAGAUGCUUCGCUAUUAAAAUAUUUCCCCCCAAUACUGAAGAAUCUCAAACCAGCAACCCUGACAGAGAUUGUGAAGGGUUUUCAAAGUGGGGCACCUCAAUUUCUCCAAUCUGUGGUGUGGCGAAUAUCCGUGUUCCUCUGGCUUAACUAGCCUGUUUGUUCCAGGUUGACUGAACCCUGCUCUACCCUACACCCCACACCAGGAUGGAGAGACAAUAACAAUAAUAACACCAUCACCACCACCAGCACUGAAAAUGCAGGGACAAAGAGUUGGGC
Non-coding RNA from Arvicanthis niloticus (Nile rat), 312 nucleotides. Lineage: Eukaryota; Metazoa; Chordata; Mammalia; Rodentia; Muridae. The record is from RefSeq and is a predicted model, not a curated record.